This 23-nucleotide non-coding RNA is filed under the name Cricetulus griseus (Chinese hamster). Lineage: Eukaryota; Metazoa; Chordata; Mammalia; Rodentia; Cricetidae. The record is from RNAcentral.
UAUCCUACAAUGGAGCCUGUACU